AUUGAACGCUGGCGGCAGGCCUAACACAUGCAAGUCGAGCGGAUGAAGGGAGCUUGCUCCUGGAUUCAGCGGCGGACGGGUGAGUAAUGCCUAGGAAUCUGCCUGGUAGUGGGGGAUAACGUCCGGAAACGGGCGCUAAUACCGCAUACGUCCUGAGGGAGAAAGUGGGGGAUCUUCGGACCUCACGCUAUCAGAUGAGCCUAGGUCGGAGUAGCUAGUUGGUGGGGUAAAGGCCUACCAAGGCGACGAUCCGUAACUGGUCUGAGAGGAUGAUCAGUCACACUGGAACUGAGACACGGUCCAGACUCCUACGGGAGGCAGCAGUGGGGAAUAUUGGACAAUGGGCGAAAGCCUGAUCCAGCCAUGCCGCGUGUGUGAAGAAGGUCUUCGGAUUGUAAAGCACUUUAAGUUGGGAGGAAGAGAAGUAAGUUAAUACCUUGCUGUUUUGACGGUACCAACAGAAUAAGCACCGGCUAACUUCGUG
Molecule: ribosomal RNA, 484 nt
Filed under: uncultured bacterium
Lineage: Bacteria
Description: partial 16S ribosomal RNA
Rfam family: Bacterial small subunit ribosomal RNA
Source: RNAcentral